This 478-nucleotide ribosomal RNA is filed under the name uncultured bacterium. RNAcentral describes it as "partial 16S ribosomal RNA". It matches the Rfam family "Bacterial small subunit ribosomal RNA", at positions 28 to 523 of the family's 1533-position model. The record is from RNAcentral.
GACGAACGCUGGCGGCGUGCUUAACACAUGCAAGUCGAACGGUAAGGCCCUUCGGGGUACACGAGUGGCGAACGGGUGAGUAACACGUGGGUGAUCUGCCCUGCACUUCGGGAUAAGCCUGCGAAACUGGGUCUAAUACCGGAUAGGACUCCUGCCUGCAUGGGUGGGGGUGGAAAGCUUUUGUGGUGUGGGAUGGGCCCGCGGCCUAUCAGCUUGUUGGUGGGGUGAUGGCCUACCAAGGCGACGACGGGUAGCCGGCCUGAGAGGGUGACCGGCCACACUGGGACUGAGAUACGGCCCAGACUCCUACGGGAGGCAGCAGUGGGGAAUAUUGCACAAUGGGCGCAAGCCUGAUGCAGCGACGCCGCGUGAGAGAUGACGGCCUUCGGGUUGUAAACCUCUUUCAGCACCGACGAAGCGCAAGUGACGGUAGGUGCAGAAGAAGGACCGGCCAACUACGUGCCAGCAGCCGCGGUAA